This is a long non-coding RNA of Octopus bimaculoides (California two-spot octopus), 457 nucleotides long. The record is from RefSeq and is a predicted model, not a curated record. NCBI's taxonomy places the organism in Eukaryota, Metazoa, Mollusca, Cephalopoda, Octopoda, Octopodidae.
AUCGUUUUGAAGUUUCUCUCACUCCCUGAAGACUCAUUUGGCUCUCAGCAAUAUCAAGGCGUAGAAGAGUUGGGUGGUGAAACCAAAGAGGUGUGGAGAUUAGAAAUUGUAAAAUGAAACAAGAAACUUGGCAGUUGGAGGCUAGGAAUAUAAAUUAUGAAGAUUUUACGGUCGCUGCCUGGAAUCGAGGCGUUUGCUUUUCCCUUGGAUAACAUCGGUGGCGUGUGGAGGGGUGGCUGGCAUGCAUGGGUGACUACUGGUCUUCUAUAAACAACCCUGCCUGGAAUUUUGUUUCCCAAGAUGUGACAAACGCAGUAAAAGAGUAGCCGGCCAGGCUGUUCCGCAGUAUCGCAUUUGGCUGUAGCAACUUCGCCAAAAAUGCCACAAAACCAUCUUUAAACGAACAAACAUAAUAAAAACGACAGAAUGAACAAAAGCUAUAAAAGAAAUCCGUGAU